GCAGAGACAUGUGGGAAAGAAUGAAACUUCCUUCGUUUCAGAAUUGGGAAGUCGGCUUUGAAGUGUGGGGCUGGGCUUUCUGGAUGCUGUCUUCACCUCCCCCAGACGCGCCCCCAGAUGUUUCCCUCGAGAUACUAAACUUCUUGGGAAAGCAGCAGAAUUCAGUGGGCAGCGAGCUUCUGAGGCUUGCACGUAGGAGCCUCGCUGUCUCUGUUAAAGCCACUUGCAAGGACGAAGCCACAUUGUCCCCAUUUCCUCAUUUCCAAAUGGGCUGAUGGAACCUCAAAAUCCUGGUAUAAUGUGAUUAAAGAAGAAAAGAAUAGAUUUUUUUAAAUGAUGAAGAUGUCACUACAUUGAAUUUACUUUUCCAAGCCAAAUUCUAGAGAGUGCCUUACAGGGGAACAACACCCUCUUUGUUAUAAUUCUGUUUGGGUCGGCUUUCAGCAGGCAAAUGAGAUGGGAGGAGAUUUCAUGGAUGUUUCUUAGUUGAGAAGAGUACAUGAAUGUGAAACCCACAAUAGCAAUAGCAAGGACCAGCACAGGACGAAGCCCGCCGCCGACUGAGUGCCAAGUGUCAUAGUCUGUAGUUUAAUCCCCGCAUCUAACUGUCCUCAUGAGGAGUCACUGGAAAAAUCAGACCUUUUCCCAUAUCACAGACCCAGCAGCAGUUUGGGCGUGCUCUUGCCUGUGUAUAGAAAGCAUGUCAAGACCGAUUAAAUUAUCUAAUUAAAAUAAUGACCACAGAGAGCCUGUUUAUUUUGGCCUGAGGAAGGUCAGCUCCAUGGGCCCCUUCUGUCCUGCUGAGGUCCCUCCCCAGCCACAAGCAUACACAAGACCUAUGAUGACCUGGCUUCUAAUAACCUGCUCCCAGUAAUGUCAGAGUGGGUCUUAUGCCACCAGUGGGGACAGGACUCACUCCAGCUGAGACAAAAGAUCGUUCUUUAAGACUCUCUAGACACCGUCUUUGUAUCUGUAUCUAUAUCCCUCUAGACAUCCAUCUUUGUAUCAGCAUCUGUAUCUGUAUCAGUAUCUGUACUGAUACUGUACUUUGUAUCAAUAUCUGUGUUGAAUCAGUACUUUGUAUCAGUAUCUGUUCACCACAGCAACUUGAAGUGUGAAAAGUUCUGGCAAGGGUUAUUUUUAAUCUACACCAAUAUGGACAAUUGUUUGACUGAGCUGACUACAGUCUUGGGUGCUUUUUGCAUCAUGAAGAUAAAACCUAAGAUCCACAGAGCAUGUUGACCGGUAACAAGUGAAGAAAACGCUGCCAGAAUAUUUUUUACACAGUACUAGGUAAUCAUUUGGACUAAUUUGUCAUGAGAUUAUUGGGCUGUCUUGACAAUGUGCAGGCUCAGCCCAGUGAAGGGCACAUUCCCGG
This 1378-nucleotide long non-coding RNA is filed under the name Homo sapiens (human). RNAcentral describes it as "HSALNT0247860". Lineage: Eukaryota; Metazoa; Chordata; Mammalia; Primates; Hominidae. The record is from RNAcentral.